This 495-nucleotide ribosomal RNA is filed under the name uncultured bacterium. Its description in RNAcentral is "partial 16S ribosomal RNA". It matches the Rfam family "Bacterial small subunit ribosomal RNA", at positions 28 to 507 of the family's 1533-position model. The record is from RNAcentral.
GACGAACGCUGGCGGCGUGCCUAAUACAUGCAAGUCGAACGCUGAAGGAGGAGCCUGCCCUCCUGGAUGAGUUGGGAACGGGUGAGUAACGCGCAGGUAUCCUGCCUGGUAGCGGGGGAUAACUAUUGGAAACGCUAGCUAAUAUCGCAUAAGAGUAGAUGUUGCAUGACAUUUACUUAAAAGGUGCAAUUGCACUAUUACUAGAUGGAGCUGCGUCGUAUUAGUUAGUUGGUGGUGUAACGGCUUACCAAGGGGACGAAACAUCGUCGGCCUGCGAGGGUGAUCUGGCAAACUGGGACUGAGACACUGCCCAAGCUCCUACGGGAGGGAACAGUAAGGAAACUUCGGGAAUGGGGCGAAAUCUUGCCGGGCAACGGCGCGUUGAUUGAGGAGGGUUUCGGGUCGUAAAACUCUGUUUUAAAGGGAGGACGAGUGUGGGAAUUAAAAGUUCACGCUUUGACGGUAUCUUACCAGAAAGGGACGGCUAACUACGUG